CCUACGGGUGGCAGCAGUGAGGAAUAUUGGUCAAUGGGCGGAAGCCUGAACCAGCCAAGUAGCGUGCAGGAUGACGGCCCUACGGGUUGUAAACUGCUUUUAUACGGGAAUAACGCGCCUUACGUGUAGGGCUUUGCAUGUACCGGAUGAAUAAGGACCGGCUAAUUCCGUGCCAGCAGCCGCGGUAAUACGGAAGGUCCGAGCGUUAUCCGGAUUUGUUGGGUUUAAAGGGAGCGUAGGCCGCAUGUCAAGCGCGCUGUGAAAUGUCCGGGCUCAACCCGGGCCUUGCAGCGCGAACUGGCGUGCUUGAGUCGGCGGAAAGCAGGCGGAAUGCGUGGUGUAGCGGUGAAAUGCUUAGAUAUGACGAAGAGCCCCGAUUGCGAAGGCAGCUUGCGGCAGCGGAACUGACGCUGAUGCUCGAAAGCGCGGGUAUCGAACAGGAUUAGAUACCCGAGUAGUC
This 460-nucleotide ribosomal RNA is filed under the name uncultured bacterium. RNAcentral's name for it is "partial 16S ribosomal RNA". It matches the Rfam family "Bacterial small subunit ribosomal RNA", at positions 338 to 795 of the family's 1533-position model. The record is from RNAcentral.